Dama dama (fallow deer) is the source of this 689-nucleotide long non-coding RNA. RefSeq lists it as uncharacterized. The record is from RefSeq and is a predicted model, not a curated record. Lineage: Eukaryota; Metazoa; Chordata; Mammalia; Artiodactyla; Cervidae. The transcript is spliced from 3 exons.
GCCGAGGAACGGAAGGCCCGCCCCCUUAGCGGGGAAGGGGCGGGGCGUUGUGGGAGGUCCCGCCCCACUCCCUGACUGCCCCCGCGGGUCGCUUAGGCGUGAGCUGCCCGCCGCCUCCGCGCGCUGCGACUUUGCUUUGGGUGGCGUGUUUCCCCAGGCGGCGGCUGCGGGUCCCACCGCUGAGGAUGCCGGGAGAGCGAGGAUGCGGCCUCCCCCGCCCCCCUCGCGUGGUCUCCUCAGAGCUUACCGACCCUCCCCUAGGGUGCCGGGGAGGGACUCUGAGGAAAAAGUUUGGGGGCUUGCCUUAGAAGGGUGUCAGGACCACCCCUCACCACCCGCACCGGCCUAGCGGGCCCGGGGUUAUGCCUGGGGACAGCAGCACGUCUGCCCAGCGGGCAGCGCCUGAAGAGCUGUCCAUGGUGUCUCACGGCGUCUGGCUUCUUUUCAGAGACAGAUACAGAUCUUCCUAUCAAGAUCUGCAAAGAUCCAUUAUAAAGGCAUGGAUGACUCCUUGUGAAAGAGAAAACAAUGGUCUUGAAGAGCAACACAAUGAUUCCUGAAAAUUCUGGGCCAGUUCGGGGUGAUGAGGUCAUCACUGCAGACAACUCUGUUCAAGUCAACUGCAACCUUGUGAGAGAUGACAUGGAACAUACCUGUUUUCCUGACACUAGGAAGCUGGUGUGGUCAAC